GUCCCGGGGUGAAUGGUCGCUCCGGCGUUCUUUACAUCCCAAGGGUGCGGUCGAAAACCGCGCCCCGUUUAAGAUCAUCGUCGGAGAGGAAAGUCCGGACACCGCAGGGCAGGACGCCACCCGAGGUCGAAAGGCCAAGUGUGGACGGCGAGCUUCAAGGCUCGUUGAUGGACAGUGUCACAGAGAAUAUACCGCCGCGCGGGCAACCGCGAGGUAAGGGUGAAAAGGUGGGGUAAGAGCCCACCGCGCCGCGCCGCAAGGCCGGCGGCAUGAAAAACCCCGUCCGGUGCAAGGCAAAAUAGGUGACUGGGCGGCUCGUCCUAUAGUCACGGGUAUGCCGCAUCCGCCGGCCUCAGGUUGUGAGCAAUCAUGACUCGAUGACCGGUAGACAGGUCCGCCGCAAGGCGGGCGUUGAGAGAAAUGACCAUGAUCCGCCGUCGCAGGACGGCGGGGAGACAUAAUCCGGCUUACAGCCCCGGGAUCAGC
Molecule: RNase P RNA, 486 nt
Filed under: Verrucomicrobia bacterium IMCC26134
Lineage: Bacteria; Pseudomonadati; Verrucomicrobiota
Description: bacterial RNase P
Rfam family: Bacterial RNase P class A
About the family: Ribonuclease P (RNase P) is a ubiquitous endoribonuclease, found in archaea, bacteria and eukarya as well as chloroplasts and mitochondria. Its best characterised activity is the generation of mature 5'-ends of tRNAs by cleaving the 5'-leader elements of precursor-tRNAs.
Source: RNAcentral